AUGCUCACUUUAGCAGUACAUACACUAAAAUGGGAGUGGUAGAGAAAAGAGUUGUAGCGUCCCUGAGCAGGGAUGACAGGCAAAUUUGUGAAGGCUUGCAUAUUUUC
Molecule: small nuclear RNA, 107 nt
Organism: Mustela putorius furo (domestic ferret)
Lineage: Eukaryota; Metazoa; Chordata; Mammalia; Carnivora; Mustelidae
Source: Ensembl